RNAcentral lists this transfer RNA (72 nucleotides) under Bos indicus (zebu cattle). It matches the Rfam family "tRNA". From Rfam's summary of the family: Transfer RNA (tRNA) molecules are approximately 80 nucleotides in length. Lineage: Eukaryota; Metazoa; Chordata; Mammalia; Artiodactyla; Bovidae. The record is from Rfam by way of RNAcentral. RNAcentral also lists the same sequence under 3 other names.
UCCCUGGUGGCUCAAACGGUAAAGCGUCUGUCUACAAUGCAGGAGACCCGGGUUCGAUCCCUGGGUUGGGAA